This 507-nucleotide ribosomal RNA is filed under the name Staphylococcus aureus. RNAcentral describes it as "partial 23S ribosomal RNA". It matches the Rfam family "Bacterial large subunit ribosomal RNA", at positions 12 to 512 of the family's 2925-position model. The record is from RNAcentral. Lineage: Bacteria; Bacillati; Bacillota; Bacilli; Caryophanales; Staphylococcaceae.
UAAGGGCGCACGGUGGAUGCCUUGGCACUAGAAGCCGAUGAAGGACGUUACUAACGACGAUAUGCUUUGGGGAGCUGUAAGUAAGCUUUGAUCCAGAGAUUUCCGAAUGGGGAAACCCAGCAUGAGUUAUGUCAUGUUAUCGAUAUGUGAAUACAUAGCAUAUCAGAAGGCACACCCGGAGAACUGAAACAUCUUAGUACCCGGAGGAAGAGAAAGAAAAUUCGAUUCCCUUAGUAGCGGCGAGCGAAACGGGAAGAGCCCAAACCAACAAGCUUGCUUGUUGGGGUUGUAGGACACUCUAUACGGAGUUACAAAGGACGACAUUAGACGAAUCAUCUGGAAAGAUGAAUCAAAGAAGGUAAUAAUCCUGUAGUCGAAAAUGUUGUCUCUCUUGAGUGGAUCCUGAGUACGACGGAGCACGUGAAAUUCCGUCGGAAUCUGGGAGGACCAUCUCCUAAGGCUAAAUACUCUCUAGUGACCGAUAGUGAACCAGUACCGUGAGGGAAA